This 253-nucleotide ribosomal RNA is filed under the name uncultured bacterium. RNAcentral describes it as "partial 16S ribosomal RNA". It matches the Rfam family "Bacterial small subunit ribosomal RNA", at positions 524 to 776 of the family's 1533-position model. The record is from RNAcentral.
UACGUAGGGGGCAAGCGUUGUCCGGAAUCAUUGGGCGUAAAGCGCGCGUAGGCGGCCCUGUAAGUCCGCUGUGAAAGUCAAAGGCUCAACCUUUGAAUGCCGGUGGAUACUGCAGGGCUAGAGUCCGGAAGAGGAGAGUGGAAUUCCUGGUGUAGCGGUGGAAUGCGCAGAUAUCAGGAGGAACACCAAUAGCGAAGGCAGCUCGCUGGGACGGUACUGACGCUAAGGCGCGAAAGCGUGGGGAGCGAACAGG